Brienomyrus brachyistius is the source of this 960-nucleotide long non-coding RNA. RefSeq lists it as uncharacterized. Lineage: Eukaryota; Metazoa; Chordata; Actinopteri; Osteoglossiformes; Mormyridae. The record is from RefSeq and is a predicted model, not a curated record. The transcript has 6 exons.
CCUCACCAGGUUGUUUGCUGAUGGUAAUGCAGCCAAUUCCACCUUUGUGAAGGUCAACAAUCUUUUCUCCGGUGUCCUUAGAUGUCUCUUUGGUAUUUCCCAGAGUGAUAAGGUUGAAGACGUAGACAGAUGACUGGAAAACCAUGGCUGAAAAAAGAGACAAGUUCAUUUAUGGAGAGGAUAUUUGGAAUACUUCUGUGAAUGUGAAGAGACAGAGAAAAGUAAAUAGCAGAUUUCUUGUUGAAAAAUGUCAAUGAAAAAUAUAAGGAAAAGAACCCCACCCUAAAUAAGGAUGCUGCUAUUGCAAUGGCAGAAAGGCUAAAGAAAGAAAUUUGGGAAAAAAAGGUCUGUAAUUCCCACAGAGGUGUGUUAUGAUUCUGAAGAAAGUGACUGUGCCCGACAUCAAAGGAGUAUGUCAAAACACCUGUUGGUAAGUGAUUUAGAGGAUGAAGAGGAUGACGGCUACAUCAAACCAAGUACAACCCAAAGUGCCAGCUGUUGUCUUGACAUGGAGACCAUAAAUGCUCUUAAAGGUUGCUGUAAGGAGAGACGGGAGAGAACACGGCGAAGUCUCACAGCAACUGCGCGGCGAGCUGUUCCACCUCUGGAACGCUCAGGGUGGCCAGUUCAUCCAUCACCCUCCAGUAUAGUCCCUAGAGGGUGAAGAACUUGGUGGCGAGGACAGCGGGCGUAGCCGGGACCUCCUGCUGGGGUGCAGCAGCUGCAGCAGGCAGAGGCGAAGGGAGCACCUCAGGCGGUGGACCUGCAGGCAGGGGAGGCGGCCACUCGGGCUGCGCGGCGGCCCGGCGUGUUCUCCGGACAGGAGAAGCUGCCCGGGGAGGCAGCUUAGCGGCGCAGGUUCUUGUCGGGAAGGGAGGCUGCGCGCUGUCCACAAAGGCAGACAGCAGGAGGACAGUCCCGGGCUCACUCGGAGCGACCCACUGCUCCGUCCGGAGCUCG